UUUCCGUAGGUGAACCUGCGGAAGGAUCAUUAUUGUAUAACCGAGGUGCGAGGGCUGUCGCUGACCCGAAAGGUCGUGCACGCCCGAGUGCCCUAACACACAUCCAUCUCACCCCUAUGUGCACCACCGCGUGGGUCCCCCUUUGGCUUGUUCGGAGGGGGGCUUACGUUUUCACACAAACUUUGUAUGCAGUGUAGAAUGUAUUUUUUGUUUUUGCGAUCACGCAAUCAAUACAACUUUCAACAACGGAUCUCUUGGCUCUC
RNAcentral lists this unclassified non-coding RNA (263 nucleotides) under plant metagenome. Its description in RNAcentral is "partial contains small subunit ribosomal RNA, internal transcribed spacer 1, and 5.8S ribosomal RNA". The record is from RNAcentral.